UCCCUGGCAGUCCAGUGGUUAAGACUCUGUGCUUCCAAUGCAGGGGGUUCGGGUUUGAUCCCUGGCCAGGAAA
RNAcentral lists this transfer RNA (73 nucleotides) under Bos taurus (domestic cattle). It matches the Rfam family "tRNA". From Rfam's summary of the family: Transfer RNA (tRNA) molecules are approximately 80 nucleotides in length. Their secondary structure includes four short double-helical elements and three loops (D, anti-codon, and T loops). Lineage: Eukaryota; Metazoa; Chordata; Mammalia; Artiodactyla; Bovidae. RNAcentral also lists the same sequence under 5 other names. The record is from Rfam by way of RNAcentral.